Lycium ferocissimum is the source of this 1638-nucleotide long non-coding RNA. RefSeq lists it as uncharacterized. Lineage: Eukaryota; Viridiplantae; Streptophyta; Magnoliopsida; Solanales; Solanaceae. The transcript is spliced from 2 exons. The record is from RefSeq and is a predicted model, not a curated record.
UGAUGAAUUGAAGGAACCUGCUGCCCAGGCUAAAGAAGUCAUAUAGGUUUUAACAUUUGUGCAUUUGUUAUUGAUGGUUUGAAAUUUGAUGAACGAAUGCAUUUGAGUAGUAAACUUUGGUUGUUUAUAUUAGUAUUGAUGAAAUGUGAAGGUCUUACUACUAAAUAACUGUAAUAGCGUCAUGGAGCAGUGCAGCCUCCAUGUUCAUUGGGUAAUAUACUGUGUAUUCUGACAAACAAAUAUCGAGAUUAUAAUGCUUUGCCUUCGCUGUUGCAUUAUGGACAUUGAACAUCUUUAUUUUCUGUUAAUGUGAUGGGUUGUGCAAUGUACUACUCCUUGUGUUAAAGAUGAUAGUUGGAAGCUGACACUUAACUGGGGGAAACUGUAUGUGUGUUUUCGGUAGGACUUUGUUAUUAUGCAUAUAGAAGUAUAUCUAUGUGUUUCGAUAACGGAGUUGAUGAUGACGUCAGCCCUAAGAAGAUAGGAUAUGUGGCGAUUCUGACUAAGGUUGUGGAUGAUGAUUUGAAGAAACCUGCUCCUCCGGCUAAAGAAAAGGCGGUAUAAGCUGUGUGUGUUUGCUGAGUUCUUUACAGUUGAGGGUAGUGACGUUGUCUGAGUUGAGGGAACUCCAGAAUAUCUUUUUCUCUAGACUGUUAUGGAAUUUGUGCAGAGUCUAAUACAAUUAAAGGUGAUAUAGGCAUCUAUAGCAGCCCACUCUGUUUGUUGCUGCUCUUGCACGGUGCAUCACCUCUAAUACCAGUGUCUAUAUUCGCCACCACCACCCCCAUUAAAAAAAAAAAAGAUUGUUUUUAAAGUGUCUUCAUCAAAAUAAACUUGUUACAUAAUUGUUCAUGGCUUGUCAAACACCCUGCUCUGAUAUCUUCCAUCGGCAUCUCAGCAAUACCAUACUCAAUAUUUACCUCCAACAUUUGUCUGCCUUAGGUAUCAAUGCUGUAAUUGCCAAUUCAUAACAGAAAUCUCGAUUUGAAUGGUGGUACUUUUUCACUUGUUGCCAAGAUGGUUUCUCCGCCUUCUUAUCUCUUAUGGUAGCUAUGGAUCGUUGGCCCUGUUUUCAGUUAGACAUCUUCGUGGAGAUGAACUUUAUAUGGAGCAACCACCAGGGUUAGUAUAUUGACUUAGUAUAUUGACUGACAGGUGUGCAAAUAUCACAUGUAAUCUGGCUCUCUGUAGUCAGUGAGAUUUGUUACUAGCCUGUGGCUCAAUGAUGUUCAAGAUCUCAAGGGCCUGGAAAGGAUCCCAAUACCCAGACAAUAUGUGAAAUGAACUUUCACAUAUAUUGCAUAAUGAGUUCUAAAUGUUUUGGUGUAUGAUGCUGUCUGACUUAUACAAAUUGAUAAAGUUAAAAGAGUUUAGUGCCAACAACUGUGUUUCUAUUUGAGAUAUUACAUUGAGUUGAUUCAGAAACAAAAUGGAAGCCAUUUGUUUCUAUUUGUUUCUGAACUUGGAGCACCUCUGAGAGUUUAUUUGAGGUCUACAGUCUACCUUUCGGAGAGGACAUGUUUCUAGGUUUUACCCACUUAUCAUGUAUGUAACCCUGUCUAUUUGCAUACCAAAUAGCUGGAUGAACUGCCUAAGUCUCACCGUUCAAGAUGUCUAGCCUAUGCUCUCCUUGUAUUU